This 496-nucleotide ribosomal RNA is filed under the name uncultured bacterium. RNAcentral describes it as "bacterial SSU rRNA". It matches the Rfam family "Bacterial small subunit ribosomal RNA", at positions 26 to 518 of the family's 1533-position model. The record is from RNAcentral.
AGGACGAACGCUGGCGGCGUGUCUAACACAUGCAAGUCGAACGAGGAUCAAUUUGGAAAGCUUCGGCCGGAAGGAUUGAUUCGAGUGGCGGACGGGUGAGUAACGCGUGAACAAUCUGUCCCAGACAGGGGGAUAACACUUGGAAACAGGUGCUAAUACCGCAUAAGACCACAGCAUCGCAUGGUGCAGGGGUAAAAGGAGCAAUCCGGUUUGGGGUGAGUUCGCGUCCGAUUAGCCAGUUGGGGGGUAACGGCCCACCAAAGCGACGAUCGGUAGCCGACCUGAGAGGGUGAUCGGCCACAUUGGAACUGAGAGACGGUCCAAACUCCUACGGGAGGCAGCAGUGGGGAAUAUUGGGCAAUGGGCGAAAGCCUGAACCCCCAGCAACGCCGCGUGAGUGAAGAAGGCCUUCGGGUUGUAAAGCUCUGUUACAGGUGACGAAGGAAGUGACGGUAGCUUGUAAGGAAGCCCCGGCUAACUACGUGCCAGCAGCUGC